GACGAACGCUGGCGGCGUGCUUAACACAUGCAAGUCGAGCGGAAAGGCCCUGCUUUUGUGGGGUGCUCGAGUGGCGAACGGGUGAGUAACACGUGAGUAACCUGCCCUUGACUUUGGGAUAACUUCAGGAAACUGGGGCUAAUACCGGAUAGGAGCUCCUGCUGCAUGGUGGGGGUUGGAAAGUUUCGGCGGUUGGGGAUGGACUCGCGGCUUAUCAGCUUGUUGGUGGGGUAGUGGCUUACCAAGGCUUUGACGGGUAGCCGGCCUGAGAGGGUGACCGGCCACUGGGCGGCGUGGCCCACUCCCACGCUACCGGGAGAGCAGGCAGGGGGCAACGAGGCACAAGGGGCGGCAGCGCGAGGCAGCGGAGCCGGGGGCGGGGCGACGCCUGCGGGGUUUACCCCCGCUGUCGCCGGUGACGAGGCGAUAGUCACGUAAGUGGACAAAGAGUAACGUGCUACCUACGUGCCAUCAGCCGCGCUAAUAAGCAGAAACCCACCCAUCUACCC
Molecule: ribosomal RNA, 509 nt
Filed under: uncultured bacterium
Lineage: Bacteria
Description: partial 16S ribosomal RNA
Rfam family: Bacterial small subunit ribosomal RNA
Source: RNAcentral